UGGGGAAUUUUGGACAAUGGGCGAAAGCCUGAUCCAGCAAUGCCGCGUGUGUGAAGAAGGCCUUCGGGUUGUAAAGCACUUUUGUCCGGAAAGAAAUCCUUGGCUCUAAUACAGUCGGGGGAUGACGGUACCGGAAGAAUAAGCACCGGCUAACUACGUGCCAGCAGCCGCGGUAAUACGUAGGGUGCAAGCGUUAAUCGGAAUUACUGGGCGUAAAGCGUGCGCAGGCGGUUUGCUAAGACCGAUGUGAAAUCCCCGGGCUCAACCUGGGAACUGCAUUGGUGACUGGCAGGCUAGAGUAUGGCAGAGGGGGGUAGAAUUCCACGUGUAGCAGUGAAAUGCGUAGAGAUGUGGAGGAAUACCGAUGGCGAAGGCAGCCCCCUGGGCCAAUACUGACGCUCAUGCACGAAAGCGUGGGGAGCAAACAGGAUUAGAUACCCUGGUAGUCCACGCCCUAAACGAUGUCAACUAGUUGUUGGGGAUUCAUUUCCUUAGUAACGUAGCUAACGCGUGAAGUUUGACCGCCUGGGGAGUACGGUCGCAAGAUUAAAACUUAAAGGAAUUGACGGGGUCAUAGCUGUUU
RNAcentral lists this ribosomal RNA (583 nucleotides) under uncultured bacterium. RNAcentral's name for it is "partial 16S ribosomal RNA". It matches the Rfam family "Bacterial small subunit ribosomal RNA", at positions 355 to 935 of the family's 1533-position model. The record is from RNAcentral.